AGUGCUUAUUUUAGGACACCAAGCUUGUCCUUGGGAAACCAUCAAUUUAUGUCGGCGAAGUGGUUUCCCUUCCAACGCUGACCUAAAUCAAGAUCAACUCAACGAGAUGUGCAAUAUUUAUUAUAGACAUAUGCAUCGACAACCGCCCUUUUAAAGUUUUUAUAAAUAGAAAGGAAGAGGGGGUUGGAGAUCUCAAAUGUGGUGAUGUUGGAGAGACCAAUUGAUUGGGAAGAUGUUGCAUAUGAGCAUGGAGUAAACAAAGUGGCUAUG
RNAcentral lists this long non-coding RNA (270 nucleotides) under Sorghum bicolor (sorghum). RNAcentral describes it as "long non-coding RNA (SBIC_LNC015732)". The record is from RNAcentral. Lineage: Eukaryota; Viridiplantae; Streptophyta; Magnoliopsida; Poales; Poaceae.